RNAcentral lists this long non-coding RNA (27429 nucleotides) under Coffea arabica (coffee). Its description in RNAcentral is "long non-coding RNA (CARA_LNC004966)". The record is from RNAcentral. Lineage: Eukaryota; Viridiplantae; Streptophyta; Magnoliopsida; Gentianales; Rubiaceae.
GAAAGAUUCAAGGAUAGCGAUAUAGACCUUCGCGGACAAGAUUUCCGACUCAUACCAUUUGGCUCAGGCAGAAGAAUUUGCCCAGGUUUGCAGUUGGGGCUCACUGUUGUGCGUUUUGUGCUAGCACAGCUGGUGCAUUGUUUCAGUUGGGAACUUGCAGAUAACAUUCAGCCAACUGACUUGGAUAUGUCUGAGGCUUUUGGUUUAGUAAAUUCAAGGGCUAAGCAUUUAAAAGUGGUGCCCAUUUACCGAUUGCACAAAUAAAUAAAGAUUGUGGACUCCAUCUCGUUCUGAAGAAGCAGCUUCUUCCUCGAGCAUUAGACAGUACAGAAGUUUCGGAAUUCUUAUAUAUCUUGAUGUUGCAUUUGUCAAUUGUUACAUUUUCCUUGCUAAUUUCAUAGUGAAAACAUUGUUAAGUGGAUUUGUUUUUAUUUUUUGCUUUUGUAGUUAAGUAGAUUUUUUUUUCUUUGUUAAUUGGAUUAUCCAGUUACAUUAUGGAAAGGUAUUCAUUUGUUUGAUUUUUAUCAACAACGUUCCAAAAUAUUAUAUUAAGUGGGAUAAGAUCUGGGGAAAUUUAGCUAAGCCAUUUUAAAGUUUUUGAUAAGUAUGAUUGGCUGCCGAAUAACCGAUUCGGAUUCACAGAUUGAAUUCUGUCCAGUUCAAACCCUGUUUGUAUAAUUCUUACUAUAUUUUGUAUAAAUUCAUAUAGCAUUGGUGUAAAAUAAGUUAUAUGAGUUGAUAAAUUUAAAUCUAUGUCAAAAUCAUAUAAAUUUACACCAAAAGUUGUAAGAAUUGUAUCAACUAAUUGAACAAAACUCAACUUGGGAGAGCAGUUUCCAUCUAAUGACAUUUUAAACUGGGUGGGACAAAUUCUUGGUCUUGCGAUGCCCAACGAAGUUAGCCGUAUUGAUGUCUUGAUAGAAUUUUAAAAUGGAACUAUCAUCAUGUGCAUUAUGAGCUGUUGUAAAUUACUGAAAGGCCUUAGUUUCAUAUUUUCUCUUUCUCAUGUGGUGGCUAUUUUGUUUUCAAGGAUUUUUCAAUGUGCCUGUCAUAUUCAAAUAAUUUCUGUCCUUGCUCAGAUCAAUUGUAUUUGCUUUUUGGGAUAAUUUCAGAAACCUCCCCUGAGGUUUCUGACAAUUUCACUGACCUCCCCUGAGGUUUCCACAAUUACACUAACCUCCCUUGAGGUUUCUGAUUUUGUAACAAAAUCAGCCCAUGACUACAAAAGUAAACAUAAAAAAGUGUUUUCAGGAAAGAGAGGAAAUUUUGUUCCCAUAAAUGCCCUUAAGGUAGGUAUAUAAGUUAUAUUAGUGAAUUAAUGAAAACUAAUAAAAAUCAGAAAUAAAUAAGAAAAAGUGAGGGGCUGUUAGUGAAAUAAGAAAUAUAAGUGGCAUUAACACCAGAAAUCUGAUCCAGAUUCUCUUGCUUCCAUUUGACAUAGUCUAUGCGGCUGAAUUUGGUGAAUUCUGAAUGGCCCGCUAAUGAUAAUCUUUUGGCGACCAGGAAACUUGAACCUGGCAUUGCUCAAAGCUGAGAUGAGCAUGGUGGCUGUUAGCAUCCUUGCAGCAUGCAAAGAGACUCCCUGACCAAUAGCAACACGAGCACAUGUUCCUUAUGGCUUCCCAAAAGCACCUCUCAUACCAUAUUGAAGCAUAUCAGCUCCAGCAAAUUGAAAACAUCUUGUUAAUAUGCAGGACAUGGAAAGGAUGAACUCUAACCCUCAAAUAGAAUGCGUCCUUCCUAGCAUACUUAGUCACGUACUUGUUGCAAGCAAUACAAACAGUCUCAAGUGCUUCACAGGAGACAUUCUCCUUUUCCCAACUAACCAAGUGGACAUAGAAUGGGAACUCAUCAACUCCCUUCUUCUUCAUGCCAACAUCAUAGAUCUUGAUCUUUGGAUCUGGAACACCACGGCAGUAACUUGACUUUGGAUAGGAUUUGUUUUUUAUUUUCAACAUAUUCUGAACCAGCAUUAAGAAGUGCAGAAACUAAGAAGUGAAUUGAACAAGUUCAUGAGCAGUGCAGAAACUAAGUUAUUUGUCACAGGCUGAAGUUGCAACAUUCAGAUCCAUUAAAUGAAACAAGAACUAAAACAGUCAUUUAUAAAACCUUAACAGUAAUAAGGUGCAAACCAAAACUGCAAUCCAAGAGUAAUAUCAUUACAAAUUUCAUAACCAUACAUUAAAUAAAUAGAAAUGCAAUCCAAUACUAUCCAAAACACCAUCUGCCUUAAAGCAAUUCAGGCAAAGGGUGAGGAUUGCAAAACCAUUGUUUAGUUAUAGUUAUAGUUUCACAAAACACCGUAUACAAAAGCAUGAGUAAGCAGUAUAUUAAUGAACUAUACUUCACAAAGCACCACUAAGCACAAAAGAAGAGAAAUGUAAGCAUAACAGUAGCAAUUAGAAAUGCAGGCUAAAACUACUGCUGGUGCUAAUAUUGGCAGAGUUCAGAGUUGCAGCUGCAUUCAUGCUAACAGAUGUAGUAGCUUGAGCAUCACCAAGGGCUUGAACAGGAGUUGUUGACAGAUGAUUAGUUGGUUGAGCAAGUUCUGGUGCAACUCUUCUGCGAGAACCUGUUGCAGCAUUUGUCGAAGUAGCAUUUGAAGGCCUUCCUCUCUGCAGUUGUUCAAAAUAGAAGAGUUUGUGCCUUAUUGAAUAUAUAUGUAGUAGCACUAGAUUGGAUUUCAUAAUAAAAGAGCCCGUACCUUUCUUUUAGAGGCAAUUGUACCUGUUUGUACAUUAACUUGAACAUUUAUGGCAGCAUUUCCAGUAGAAGGAUUUGAAUUGCUACCUAUACUUGAAUGCACAACAGGCACAUUCCCAUGUGCAUGAUCCUGUCAUAAUAAAUUUACAUGUUAAUGUAAUAUGAUUAGGUAACACUAAGGACUAAUUGCGUAAUUGAAAGAUGAUUUAUACCCAGAGAACAGAUCAUUUCAGUCCUAAAUUUGCAAUUCCUCUGCCUGGUUUCCCUCUUCUAGUUGGCAUCUGUCAUGAAGUAAACAACAUAAGCAGUUGAUGAGUCAAGCAAGAACAUUUAAUUUGUACAAAUAUGUGUAUGAUGAUACCUGUUGAGCAUGAGUAUUAGCCGGAUUCUUUCUUUGCAUAGGAGCUCUUUGACAUGUUCUCAUGUUGUGACCAAACUGACCACAAUUUCCACACUUUAAAGUACUAGACCUUUUUGGUUGAGAUGAAGGCCCUUCAUCAGGUUCUCUUCUUCUGUUAACUCUAGGUCUACCAGGAACUCUUCUCAAAGGAGGGGGCAAUACAACCUUAGGGAUAAUUUCAUGCAUAGGAGGCCACAUCUUUUCAUGAGGUAUAGGAUGAAUCAUAGAAGCAUAUGCCUUCAGGUAAAUGUCUUUGGAGAACCAAUGAUCACAGUAAUCUUCCAACUUUUCCCUUUUGUAGAUGAUGCCAAGUGCAACAUGUUUGCAAGGAAGUCCAACUAAUUGGAAGGCACCACCACAGUCACAGGUCCUUUGGUUUAAAUUGACUACGAACGAUCUGUCCAUAUCACCAACCUCAAAUGUAUUAUCACUUGCCAUAGUCAGGGUACAAUGCCUUGAUGCUUGAGCAAUUUUUUUGAGCUUUUCAGCAAAUUUUGGGGUGAUUCUGUUAGUUAAUGUGCAUCCCUUUUGGUAUCUCUUAUGCAUUUUCUUCAUGAACUUUCUUCUCAAACCUUCAACAAGGGUAAGUAUGGGUUUGCCUCUGAGGUCACCAACCCAUGAAUUAAAUGAUUCAGUGAAAUUAUUUGUGACAUGGUCACAUUUAAUUUCUUUUAGAAAUGCAUAUCUACACCAGGCUUUCUUGGGAAUUUUGUCCAAAUAUUUCCAAGCCUGUAUGUUGAUGUCUUUAAUGGUUGACAUUGCUUCAUUGUGGCUUUUGUGAUCAAAACUCUUUGCUGUCUUCCAAAAGAAACAAUUAAGCAGCAUGCCUGGAAAUUGCUGCUUGAAGUUGCUGCAAAUGUGCCUGCAACAAUAUCUGCCACUAGCAUUUGGAAAUAUCUCCUCAUAAGCAAGGUUGAGCCCAUAAAACAGCAUAAUUCAUGAGUCAAAAAAGCUAUUUCAGAUCCUUUAACAAGUCCAAGCAAAGAGUAGGUUGUUCUGAGCAGUACCUUUUGCCUAUUACUCAUAAAGGUUAAAGGUAAGUGGCUGUUGAAUGGUCCAAAAAACUCCUCAAAAAAGUGAAAGAACCAGCCCCAUGUUUCCUUGUUUUCACAUUCGGCUACAGCAAAUGCAAUUGGAAAUAUACUAUCAUUGCCAUCUAAGGCCACUGCUGUGAGCAAAACACCACCAAAGGGACCCUUCAAGUGACAGCCAUCAAAGCCAAUGAAUGGCCUGCAACCUUCAAGAAAACCAGUUUUCUAUGCUCUAAAACUAACAAAUAUUCUUAAAAAUCUGGGCUAUACAAGGAGAUUUGGCCUAUCAUAAUGUAUUUUGCAAAUGCUUUGUGGAUUAUAUUGUCUUAGAAGUACAGCAUACUUUGGUAAUUUGCUAUAAGAAUCAAUGAAAUUUCCUUGUGUGAAUUUCAGAGGAAGAGAAUAAAUUCCCCAUAUUUUUAUUCAUCAAUCGUAAGGGUAUAUAUACAGGUAUAGACAUCCUAUACUAGGAAGAUAUCCUAUUACAAUAAAUCAGUCCUCUAAUUCCUAUAAUUUAGGCUACAAACUAGCCUACAUUUGUUAGCUAUCUAAUCCCUACAAAUCAGCCUAUAUCAAUCUGUGACAGCUAUCUAAUCCCUACAAAUCAGCCUGCAUAUAAUCUGUAACAUCUAAUCCCUACAAAUCAUCCUGCAUAUAAUCUGUAACACUCCCCCUCAAGUUGGAGCAUAGAUAUUAAUCAUGCCCAGCUUGUUACAUAGAUAAUCAAUCCGGACCCCGUUAAGAGCUUUUGUGAAUAUAUCACCUAAUUGUUCUCCAGUCUUCACAUAACCUGUAGUGAUCAAACCUUGUUGGAUCUUUUCACGAACGAAAUGACAAUCAAUCUCAAUGUGUUUCGUUCGUUCAUGAAAGACUGGAUUGGAAGCAAUGUGAAGUGCAGCUUGAUUAUCACACCAUAGCUUGGCAGGUACUGAGACCUUAAUUCCUACUUCACUAAGGAGCUGAUAUACCCAUAUGACUUCACACACAGACUUGGCCAUACCUCUAUAUUCAGCUUCCGCACUGGAUCGUGAGACGACAUUCUGUUUCUUACUCUUCCAUGAGACCAAAUUUCCCCCAACAAAAACACAAUAUCCUGAAGUAGAUCUCCUAUCUUCCUUACACCCUGCCCAAUCUGAAUCUGAAAAACAUUCAAUCCUAGUAUGACCAUGAUUGCCAUAUAGGAUUCCACGUCCAGGAGCACAUUUUAAAUAGUGCAAAACUUGUUCGACUGCUUUCCAAUGGUCAACAGUUGGUGAGGACAUAUAUUGGCUUAACACACUCACUGAAUAAGCAAUAUCAGGACGUGUCACAGUGAGAUAAUUCAACUUUCCGAUUAGUCUUCUGUACCUCUCAGGAUCUGCACACAAUUCACCUUCUUUGGUUAAUUGUAAAUUAGGAACCAUUGGGGUACUACAUGGUUUAACACCCAACUUUCCCGACUCCGACAGUAAGUCAAGUACAUACUUUCUCUGUGAUAGAAAGAUUCCCUUCUUACUCCUGCUAACUUCAACUCCCAAGAAAUACUUUAACAUCCCCAAGUCUUUGGUAUAGAACUGAGUAUGAAGAAAGGACUAUAGAGACGAAAUUCCGCUAGAGUCGCUACCUGUGAUUACAAUAUCAUCCACAUAUACAACUAACAGAAUAAUACCUCCAUUAGAGUGUCUAUAGAAAAUAGAAUGAUCUGACUUGCUUUUCUGCAUCCCAAAUUUCUCAAUAGCUUGGCUAAAUUUUCCAAACCAAGCCCGAGAACUCUGUUUCAAGCCAUAUAGAGAUUUUUGCAGACGACAGACUUUCCCUUUCCCAUACCCCCCUUGAGCAACAAAACCAGGUGGUUGCUCCAUAUAUACCUCAUCCUGAAGAUCACCAUGAAGAAAGGCAUUCUUGAUGUCUAACUGAUGCAGAGGCCAGUCAUAAGCUGCAGCAAGGGAGAUAAACAACCUGACCGAAGCAAGUUUAGCAACAGGAGAAAAAGUAUCAUGAUAAUCCACCCCAUAAAUUUGAGCAUAUCCUUUAGCAACAAGUCGAGCUUUCAAUCGAGAAAUGGAGCCAUCAGAAUUCAUUUUGACAGUAAACACCCAUUUACAUCCAAUGGCUUGUUUACCUGCAGGUAAGGUAACCAAAGUCCAUGUACCAUUGACAUCUAGAGCAUUCAUUUCCUCAAUCAUAGCAGUCCGCCAUCCGGGAUGAGCUAAUGCCUCUCGAACAGUCUUAGGUACAGAAACAGUGUCUAGGGAUGUAAGAAAAGCACAAGAAGAGGAAGACAAAUGAUGGUAGGAAACAACUGAAGAGAUUGGAUAAGUACAUGCACGUUUACCUUUUCUGUGAGCAAUAGGGAGAUCAAGAUCAUCGUUGGCAGCCGGAUCUGAUGACAAAGAGACUGGUUCAUCAGGACAUGAUUCUGGAGACUCAAGGACCAAGUCAGAACUGGGCUGAUGUGCCCGACGUGAGUAGGUAUAUUUGAUGGGAGGCUUAACCGGUGUAGAAGGAGGCGGACCCGAAUUUGGUAUGACACUAUAGAUUAACAAAUCAUCAUCCUCCCCUGGACUCACAGAACUUGAAGAGCCUGAAGAUGAAGAUAAAGGUGUUUGUUCCAAAAAAGUAACAUCAGCAGACACAAGAUACUUACCAAGACUAGGACAAUAACAACGAUACCCUUUUUGCAUGCGAGAAUAACCCAGAAACAUACACUUUAAGGACUUAGGAUCAAGUUUUGUAACUUGAGGACGAACAUCCCGAACAAAACAAGUACAACCGAAUAUCUUUGGUUCUAUAAGAAACAACUGUUUAUUUGGAAAUAGAGUGUGGAAAGGAGUAUUACCAGACAAAACAGAGGAAGGCAUACGAUUGAUUAGAAAACAAGCAGUAGAUAGAGCAUCAGCCCAGAAACAUUUAGGAACCUUCAUUUGAAAUAACAAAGCUCGAGCAGUUUCAAGAAGGUGUCUAUUCUUUCUCUCGGCAACCCCAUUUUGAGAAGGGGUGUCAACACAAGAGGUCUGAUGAAGAAUACCCUGCUCAAGCAUGUAUUUCUGAAAACUGCUUGAAACAUAUUCUUUUGCAUUAUCACUUCGUAAAAUUUGUACAGGUUUACCAAAUUGGGUUCGAAUUUCAGCACAAAAGGAAGAAAAGUGAAAAAAUAGUUCUGAGCGACUUUGCAUCAAAUAAAGCCAUGUCAUUCUAGAAUAAUCAUCCACAAAGGUAACAAAAUAUCUGAAACCAGUUUUAGAGGUAACUGGACAAGAACCCCAAACAUCAGAAUGUACUAACUCGAAGGGAGCAGUAGCUCGCUUAUUGAUUCUAGGACUAGAACUAAGACGAUGAUGUUUAGCAAACUGACAAGACUCACAAUCUAAUGAAGUAAUGUUUGAAAACUGAGGACAAAGUUUCUUCAACAUAGAAAGCGAAGGAUGACCCAAUCGACAAUGUGCUUCAAAAGGAGAGAUUGUUCCAGCACAAGCUAUAGACCCUGGUUUCGGUGUAUCAAGAAUGUAGAGACCGUCAGACUCAUGUCCCUCACCAAUAAUCUUCUUCGUCAUGAGAUCCUGAAAUGAACAAUAACCAGGAAAAAAUGAGACACAACAAUUAAGAGCACGAGUAAGUUUGCUGACAGAAAUCAGAUUAAAAGAUAGUUGUGGUAGACUCAGAACAGAUGAUAAAUGGAGAGAUGAUGUGGGCUUAGUGGUUCCAGACCCAAUAACACUGGAUGUUGAACCAUCGGCUAAAGUAACAGGAGUGAUAGAUUUAUGUGGCUGAAAGUUAGAAAGUAAACUAGGAUUACCUGUCAUGUGAUCAGUAGCACCAGAAUCAAUGACCCAUGUUGGAGAAGAGGAAACAAGACAUGCAUUGGGUUUACCUGUCUCGACAGGAGCAGUAACAUGACCGGAUGACUGUUUCACUGUUUCUUGAAACUGAGUCAAUCUAGCAUACUCAUCCGCAUAUAUUGUAACAUGCUUGUCAGAGGUCGCACAACUAGAUGCAAUAUGGGCAGAGUGAGCCUUCUUAUACUGCAGCUUCCGACAGUCUCGCUUGAUAUGACCUGGUUUAUGACAGUAGAGACAUACAAUUUCUCCUUGCUCCUGUCCAUGAUUGCCAGUAUUCUUAUCAGAGUGGUUGGGCCCCGACCCCAUGCUCCUACUGUUGCCAUUACUCUUGUAGUGUUGUCUUCCUGAAUCAGCUGUGGUAGUUCGACUAAGAAGAACACUGUUAGGCUGAGUAGAUAGAACAGGUAACGUAUUCUCUGUACGGAGAACCCUUCGAAAAGCAUCUUCUAAACUGGAAAUUUCUGAACCGGAAAGAAUUUGAGAUUUAGCAGUCUUAAAUUCAGACGGAAGACCGGCUGGAAAACUCAUAACCGCCAUCUUCUCUCGCUGAUUUCGUUGUUCCUCCACAUCACAACUGAAGAGAAGCAGCAUAUUGAGCUCUUCAUAUGUUUUCUUGAAGUCCAUAAAAUAACUGGUGAGAGACUUGUCUCCUUUAUCUGCCCUGUAAAAAUCCUUGCAAACAUCAUAGAUACGAGAGAAAUUUCCUUUUCCAGAAUAUAAGAACUGUAAAUAGUUCAUUAAUUGUUUUACUAUCUUACAAUGAGUAACCAGACCAACCACCUCACUAUCAAUAGAAUUACGGAUCUGUAUAUACAAGCGAGCAUCCUCUCUCAUCCAAGACAAUUUAGAGUCAUCCGUAGGUAGAUCAUCAGUCAGAUGGCCAUCCAUAGAAAUACUGAGCAGAUAUAAUUCAAUAGUAUUGUUCCAAUCAAGAAAAUUAAUUCCAUUUAACUUAUGUUCCGUGAUUUUUGAAACCAGCGGAACUAUAUCAGAAACAACUCCAGGCUUUUUGUCAGACAUAAUUGCUAAGAAAAUUCAACAAGAUAACAGAUUACCCACAAGAAAAACCUGUUGUAGCCAAGUCCCACACCUAGAUCGAUGUUGACCCACAAACAGGUAUGCAAAUAGCGUCGAGAGACAGAAGAGAGGUGCUGGGUUCUGACCAAUUGGUACUACGUACCUCCCUGAGUUGGCGGUGUCUAUAAAGGAACCUCUAAAGCCUGUACCUUGAAUAUGGCAGCAGCUUCCCUCACACCCAACAACCCAGGAAAAAAAUUUAUGAACAAACCUUGCUCUGAUACCAUGUGAAUUUCAGAGGAAGAGAAUAAAUUCCCCAUAUUUUUAUUCAUCAAUCGUGAGGGUAUAUAUACAGGUAUAGACAUCCUAUACUAGGAAGAUAUCCUAUUACAAUAAAUCAGUCCUCUAAUUCCUAUAAUUUAGGCUACAAACUAGCUUACAUUUGUUAGCUAUCUAAUCCCUACAAAUCAGCCUAUAUCAAUCUGUGACAGCUAUCUAAUCCCUACAAAUCAGCCUGCAUAUAAUCUGUAACAUCUAAUCCCUACAAAUCAUCCUGCAUAUAAUCUGUAACACCUUGAAUCUCCUCUUCUGCUUUCUUUUUUGGUCUAAAAAGCUGCAUGUAACUCGGUUUAAGACCAUACUUUGUUAUCAUCUCUGCUUCUAUGCCCUGGCUAGAUAUGUUAGGAUGAACUCUCAUCAAAGGCACCAACUUCUUUGCAAUCCAAUCUGAUGUGGCUUCUACAUUACUUUUAUCCAUCACACAAGUAUGUUCAGGUUGGUAAGAUUUAAUCAUAAAGGUGACAGAAUCGGCCACCGGACUUGCAUGAAUUCUCCAUUUGCAGCCAUCUAUACCACAAAUAGCUGUCACUCUAGUUUUCUCAUUCUUCAGUCUUACUAUUGGAAAUCCCUUUUGAAUGACAUAAUCCUUCAAAACUGCUCUAAAGGAGUCCACAUUGGUGAAUAAUUGGCCCUUCUCAAACUCAAUGUCCUCUCUUGGGUUGUACACCCACAUUUUUUAUCUCAUCACUUCUCUCAUAGGAUCAAGUUCCUGAUUAGAUUCGGAAUCAGGAACCACAUCACAAUUCUCAUUUUCUUCAAAAUCAGAAAAAUUAGUGUCACUAAAGUAACUACUCUCCACUGAAACUCUAUCAUCAUCUAUAUCACCUUCAUUAUCACUAUCAAGCAUAUGUUCCCAUGACUCACCAGAGCUAGAGUCCUCAAAUUCAUCAUCAGAAUUUUCAAGGUCAACAACCACCCUUUCAUAAGUUUGUUCAAUGCCUAAAUUCUCUUGGGUGUUCUGAACAUUGUUAUGGUUUAAAGGUCCAUCAGGCUUACUUGGAAUAAUUUCCAUAUCAUACACAUGCAAAAUGAUUACAAUUCCAGAUUGAUGCCUUUUAAACAUCUCAACUACUGCAUUGUCAUCAUUAGCAUCACGCAUUUCACAUGUUCCAGGAAUUUCAUGCCUCAUAUGUAUCAUCAUAUUCGCAUUUCCAGGCAUUUCACUCAAUGCUUUUUCAGCGACAUCAUAUAGUAAGUUAAUGUACAAGUUGCCAUUAGGAUCAACAUUCGGAAUCUUCACUUUCCUUCCCUUGUAAUGCACAACCAUGUCAUAAGAACCAUUAUUCACCAUCCUACAUUAUUAAAAUUAAUAGAUCAGCACUAACAACCAUUAACAUGAUUCUGUGAUGAUGAAACACUUUUACUCAAUAAAUGAAUAACAGGGCACAACUCAAAGAUCUAAAACUAUAUUUGGCAGAAUAGACAAUUUAUCUAACUUAUUGCAGAUUAUCAAGCAUUUUAUCAAUCAUUUAACAACCAUGGUCAACAUAACAGAUGAUGAACGUAACAGGUCACUACAUGUACCAGUGAUCACAACUUGUCUAACUACAUCAUCUAUUCAGCUUAUCAAGCAUUGAACAACUAUGAUCAACAUAACAAAUGAUGAUUUUUGUCAUGCUUUUGACUUUAACAUCUAACUAAGUUCAUGGUUUUGACAUACUCCCUCUUUUUUCUUUCAAAUUUACAUGAUGAACUCUAAAAAUUUAUAUGUUCUGGAAGUAAUAGGUCACAUUCGAUCAUAUUACAUUAACAGAUAACAGAGCUUGCAUACCUUUUUUGUUGUUAUUUUUGUGAUUUACAACAUUCAAAAUCUUAGAAUUUGCCUUCCAUACUCCCUCCUUUCUACUUCAAAAUCAUGAAAUUAGAGCACUAUCAUAACUGCCUCACCAGUUGAACGAAAAUUGCAAGUUUGUUUAGCUUCUAUCUUCACUGCAUUUCUUCUUAUUUUUUUUUCUUCUGCCCGAUCCCUUCUUCACAAUAUGUAAAAACUGAUUUGUUGUCUUGUCCCUAAUGUCAUCAGCAAAAUGGUGCCAUAUUGGUGAACGAAAUUGGCGCCAGUUGCUUAUGCAUUUUUUAUUAGCAAGAUUCCAACUGUUAAGUUGGUUAAUGAAAUUGAAAGUUCUAAUUUGACCCUAAUGACUUAUUUACCAUAUUUUAGUCCUAUAAUAACACAAAAUGUCUUGGGUAUAAUAGUAAUUUCGCAUUAUAUGAUGUCAGCAAUUGGGUCCCAAGUUCUGCUAGGGGAGGUCAGUGUAAUUGUGGAAACCUCAGGGGAGGUCAGUGAAAUUGUCAGAAACCUCAGGGAAGGUUUCUGAAAUUAUCCCUUUCUUUUUCCAAGGUACUAGAGAUUUUCAAUUUGAAUGUACAAAAAUGUCAGUUAAGCCUAACUUUAUAUUUUUUUAGUGGAAAUUAAGCUUAUCAUAUUAAAUCACCAUUAACAAUAUACAAAAUUUCCUUAAAAGCAACAGAAUUUUUUCAAAGAAUUUUUUUUGGUCUACCUGUUCACCAAUACAAUAUUUCCUUAAAAAGUUUUGUUGUAACUCCUUUUUGUAGUUUUUCUUUCUCUCUCCUUUGCUUUUUUUUUUGUUGAGAUAUGAAUCCAGUCAUUUUCUUUCCAAAGUAUUUUUUUUCUAGGAAUUCAAGGAAAAUUUGCGUUAAAAUUUUUUGCGAUAAAAUUUUUUUUAUUAUUCUUCUUUACUUUCCAAAAAAUCUUCCAGUCAUUAGAUUGCUCCACGGAUCCAUUUGAUCUUAGUUAAACACAAAGUCAUAUGUAUGACUAGGGGAGAAGUGCCCGCGUAUCGCGCGAGUGUUUGGUGCCUGUGGUUAAAGACGAUUUUUUGGUUGGACAAAUAAUAAUACAUUGCAAGAAUAGUACGUUGCGAUAAAUAAUUAGAAGCAGGUACAAUUAUAAGACAAACAACAUAAGAGUCUUCCAAUAUUAGAAUCAGGAAAUUCCCGAACACAAAAAUUAGAUGCAGCAAGCUCCCAAAGAUGUACGGGCAAAUAUUUAUAAAAUUGUUUCAGGUAAAAACUACGAGAUAGAUAGCAGAGUAGAUUAAAUAAGACAUCAUGUAUGUCUAUUUAUUUAGUGAUACGAAUAGUAGUAAACUCACGUAGAUGCUGUAAUAGACAGCAAUCAGAUGCGUUGCUUCUUGGUGGUUUCUUCAUUUUGGUCCCAACUUCAGCAUCUACAUGAUGAGUGUAGAACAUACAUGAUCGAAGGUCCUCCACAACUUCCUGCUUCAACUACUCUAACUGCUGAAGUUGAAAGCGGAGGCAAUGCAGGGAUGUUGGUGCCUUUUCUUGUCAGAGCAGCUACUCUUGGUGCUUUUGGCUUAAGGAAGCAAGUAAGUUGAAGGAGUUCUGUGGUGAAGGACUAUGCGCUGCUAAUGUCCAUAUUUGGUCGGUCUUCAAAUGAGCGAGUCAUUAACUUACCAAUAGAAUGUGAUUAAAAACAAGCUAUAGCAGAAUGAAAAAAUCAUGGAACCAAAAUGAAGCAAAGGCCAAGUGAAAGUCUCAUCAAAUCCCAAAUUAAGUUAAUGACCCUCGUAAAUAUUGUUGGUCGGGCCCUCCGCAAAUUCCUGCUUCAGUGGGCGGUCAUUGUUUCCAUGCCUAGGAUUUAUGCAAUAUAAGAGCAUAAAAAAAUAUCCCAAUCCCAGAAUAUGAAAAGGUUGAAUCUGAAGAAGGUGAAGAGGGGGCAUGGAAACAAUCAGAAGGUGAAGAGGAGGCAUGGAAACAAUCAUAACCGACGCAGCCAUUGGGCAUUAACUUACCAACAUCUGACUAUUUAAUUGAGGCUAUAAUGAGAAAGAAAAGGAGUGUUUCGGCCAUAAGCUCGGGGUGAGAGAGGAAACGAUGCGGCAUUCUGUUUGAGACAAAGGUUGCAAGAGAAAAUCCAAUCUCCGAAUCUCAGGAGCCAUUAGUAGGGCCAUGUUUUUUGCCAUUAAAUUCAGAUAUAAAUGAUAGAGAAGGAGAUCUAAAAGGAGGUGCUUCCACACCUGAGCUCUAACUACGGUGACGAUUGAGCAAGAUUGGCCUUUCUUAUUCCCUUUCACUUGUGGGCUCCCUGUACAAGUGAUUUCCAAGUUUAAUGAUUAUUAGUCAAACGACGUACUUAUGAUGUGUGAAUGCCAUUUCAGUAAUAACCGUGUGAUUCAAUUGCUGUAUUUAUGGUCAUGACUUUUUCUUUUUGUAAUGACUGCACUUAUGAUAUGUGAAUACCAUUUAAGUAAUUUCACAAACCCACAGACUUAUGUAUGUUGUACCAAAAGUAAUAAAUGGUUGCAGAUUAAUUGCACAUAUCAUAAAUACCCAUAUGUUUCAACAACAUGAAGUUUUAAAUGUCUAUAAAUAAGGGUAUUUCGGUUAAUAUACAUAAUCACAAGUUUCCCUCACUUGUACCUAUAGCUUGUAAAACACUCCAGAAUAUUUCACAUUCCCUAUCAUAAAUACUCAUAUGUUUCAACAACAUAAAGUUUUAAAUGUCUAUAAAUAAGGGUAUUUCGGUUAAUAUACAUAAUCACAAGUUUCGCUCACUUGUACCUAUAGCUUGUAAAACACUAUAGAAUAUUUCAUAUUCCCAAAAAGUCCCUGCCUAUGCGGUUGAAAUGCAACCCUCUCUUUCACCAAAACUCAAUCUUAUCAUUAGUCAAACGGCACACUUAUGAUGUGUGAAGGCCAUUUCAGUAAUAACCAUGUGAUUCAAUUGCCGUAUUUAUGGUCAUGACUUUUUCUAUUUGUAAUGACUGCACUUAUGAUGUGUGAAUGCCAUUUAAGUAAUUUCACAAACCCACAGGCUUAUGUAUGUUGUACCAAAAGCAAUAAAUGGUUGCAGAUUAAUUGCACAUACGAUAAAUACCCAUAUGUUUCAACAACAUAAAGUUUUAAAUGUCUAUAAAUAAGGGUAUUUCGGUUAAUAUACCUAACCACAAGCUUCCCUCACUUAUACCUAUUGCUUGUAAAAUACUACAGAAUAUUUCACAUUCCUAAAAAGUCCCUGCCUAUGCGGUUGAAAUGCAACCCCCUCUUUCACCAAAACUCAAUCUUAUAUAGUAUAAGGAAUUCAAUCGGUUGAAGUCAUUGUGGAGUAGUAGCUUGCAAUUGACUUUUAGAUCUUCCAUUUCCUCAGGGAGACCCCGAGGUUGGCUCGGCUGGUGCUGGGGUUGCCUAGUAAGAUUCUGGCACCGUGUGGUCGAGUUCGACUCCUGUUAAUCUCUUGUGUAUUCUGAAGGGGGCGGGGUACACAAGCGUAGAGGAUUAGUCGGGUCGAAGGCCGGACUCCCUUGUGUAGACAAAAAAAAAAAAAAUUUCUCACGGAUCCUACAGGUAGGAAAUCAAAUGUGCAAGUUGGUGGCCUUGACCAUAACACCAUUAGAAUAAUAUUACAGCUUUACUUGUCCGAAAAGGAAUAAAAACACGGUUGAUUUCUUUACCAACUCCUUUCCUAUCACCUAAUAAAUCAUGGUUCGGUGAAUUUUUAUGAGCUGCUUGAUUAGUCAAGUAGUACAAGAAUAGGUCCUAAAGUGAAUUAUAUGAACUCUGCUUGUUCAAUCGUAAACCUUCUCCUUGCACUUGUACAUAUCCACCCAGCCCCAGCGUGUAAUUCAGCAAUCGUCAUAAGGAACUUUUCAGUCUUAUAUAUCUUAAGAGUUAAAUGGUGGUGUUAUGAAACAAUUAAAAGUAUGGAUGUCCCUUUGUAUUCCCAAGAGGAUUAAUUCUUGAUUUUAUGACUACAUUAUGUAUAGAAGUUACAAUCCAUAAAUCUAUUCAUGUAGUGGAGAAACCGUUUCAUAAGUUUUUUCAUAUUCUUGUAGUAGUGGGUGUUUAAUAGAAUUGAUGUAUCUUUAAUCUUGUAAUACCUAUAUAUAGAGGUACAUUGACAUCCUUUGUGAGGACUUUUAUAUUAGUUGGAAUAAUAAGAUAAUCACUCUCUAUUUCUCUACUUUUUUCUCUAAUAUUUCCAUUCAUACUAUAAUAGUUUAUUAGUUUUAUAACAUGUUAUCAGCACGAGUCUCUACUUUUGAGCAAAAGGUGAAAACGGAGGUUCUACUUUGAACAAAAGUGAAACACUAGAUUUUGCCAAAAUUCUGCCUGCAUUUCUUCAAGUAAAUUCUGAGGUAAAUUUCUAACUCACAAACUUAUUUCAAUUUCUUAUGGCUAACAUUUGAAUUAUCGCAAAAAAUACAAGUGCCUAUUGCUGAACAAUCACUAAACACAAACAUAUACUGUUUGAUACAUUUGAGGUAAUAUUUCUUCUUUUAAUUCUAUUUAUUUACAUUUAGAAUUAUUCGUUAUAGAUACUUUUAUUCUGAUGCAUUGAAUUUUGGUGAUGCUAUUAUAGAAAAUCAAUUAUAUUUAAGGAUCUACUUGUCCUUUGAAAUAUUUAAAGAAAAAGAUUCGACCACCUGAAGAUGGUUGUUCUUUAACGAAAAUAUUUGGCCACUAGAAGAUGGUCAUUAUUUCAAAAGCCUAGUAUGAUAAAUUUACCUAUGGCUACAAGAACAUAAUUCUGCAAUUUUCAGAAUUACUUCUCAGUUGAAAUUGUGUCGAGAAAAUUUUACUCAUAAGAUAUAUUGAAAAUGAUAUUCUCCACAAUUGAUUUCUCUAAUAUGCUCCUGUAGUAGCAAUAUUAAGAGAAAUUUUGAGAAGUAUUUUGUACUUAUUGCAUGCUAAUUCUAGUCCAUUCCCAGAAGUGAAUGCGACUAAAUUUCAAUUUAUUAGCUAUGGUUGAUGCCAUGACAAUGGUUUUGGUAAAUAUAUAUUUUACCAUAACAAAAGAAAAAAUUACCACUUGAAGUGGAAUAAUAUUGAUGAGGACAAGAAAAUAAGAAUUCUGAAGAUAAAUGUCCCGCAGUACAUUUAACGAAUCAAAAUUAUAAUAUCAUCUUCACAUGACCAAUUUCUUUAAACACCCUGAAGGUAUAUGAUGAUUGAUUUAAUUAACUUUUCUUCCUGAAGAAAAAAUAGAUGUUAAAUAUUUGAGAUCAAAGGAUUAUAGUGAUGAUAUUUGUCCCAUAAGAAUUAUGGUGACAAUGAUAUGUGUCUCAUUAAUAAGUGCCACUAUAUACGCUAUAGUUUAAGUGAUUGAAAGUUCCGGAAGAGCGACUGCUAUAUUUCUCCUUGUAGGAAAAAAGUUCAUCAUAAAUAAAGCACUACUUUUUACCAUGUCUCAAAAGAAUUAUUGAAUUUGAAUAACCGUAGAAAUGGAUAUCAAAUUGAGACAUUAAAUGAGACAAUAAUAAAGAUCAUAUUUAAAAUCAAGUGAGAUAAAGGUUAAUUAUAUCAUAAUAAUCAUUCGAGAGAGAAAUGAUUAUCGAUAUAGUUGUCUUCAUUCUCAUUUGAUUUAUAAUUAUCACAUGCAGUAAACCAGAAGUUUACUGAUCCCAAUGGAUAUAUGAUUUGACAAAAGUGAGAAUAUUUGAGAGCCGACAAGUAUUUAUACAUACCCCCUUUAUAUUAUAUAUGGCUCCAAAAGAAAUUUAGAAUUUAUGUCGGGUAUGAAUCACUUUUUACGAUUAAAUAUCGUAAAAUAUUUGAUGAGUGAUCUAUUAAAUGAUUUAUUUAUUCUGAUGAAUUAUAAUUCCCGACAUUAGGGGGAGGAAGAAAUCAACCGAAAGGAAAUCACCUGAAAAAUUGGAUUUCCUCGAUCCUCAUACAAAAUAACGUGAACUGGAAGUUCAAGAAAUUAUUCACUUGCAGAAAAUUGCAAACCAAUUGUCAGAUAUAUUACCGACUCCAGAAGAGUUAUUAAAUCAACUGUUCCUGCAGGAAAUACCUUGAUUAAAAUUGAUGUCCCUAAAGGACAUGCACAAGUGCUACAAAUAAAUUUAAGGCCGGCCUACCUAAAUAAGGUAUAAAUAGAUUUCAAAUAUCUCCGGAGAUUAAAUGUCAUGACAAAAUUCAACCUCUUGAAGAGGUUGCUCCUGAAGAGCCAACUUAUGAAGAGAAUGAAAUCAUAAAAAAAAAAUUUAAUUGGAGCCUAAUAAAAUGUAGCACUUGAUAUUAUAAAAGUUGAUGAGAAUCAUGAAUCUAGAUCGGUUGAUGAAUGUCGGUAUAAAAAUAAUUGUUUAAAGUGGAAAGAUGCGAUCCAAUCUGAAUUGGAUUUAUUGGUUAAAAGAAAAGUUUUUGGACUUGUAGUCCAAACACUUAAAGGUGUAAAGCUAAUAGCUUAAAGAUUUUCACAAAGGCCUGAAUUUGAUUAUGAUGAAACGUAUUCACCUGUAGUGGAUGCUAUCACAUUUAGAUAUCUUGUAAGUUUUGCAGUACAUGAAAAACUAGAGAUGCGUUUAAUGGACGUUGUUACUGUAUAUUUAUAUGGGAAUCUUGAAAAUAAUAUUUAUAUGAGAGUCUCCGAAGGAUUCAACAUGCCUGAAGCAUGCAAAUCAAAUCCUAAAAAUAUUUAUUCUAUUAAAUUACAAAGGUCUCUGUAUGGGUUCAAACAAUUUGGACGUAUGUGGUAUAACCGUCUCAAUGAAUGUCUGACAAAAGAAGGUUAUACCAAUGAUCCAAUAUGUCCAUGUGUUUUUAUUAAGAAAAAUGAAUCAAAUUUUGUGAUAAUUGCUGUAUAUGUUGAUGAUCUAAAUUUGAUUGGAACUCCUGAAGAGAUUCAAAAUAAUGUUGAAUAUUUGAAGAAGGAUUUUGAGGUCAAGAAUUUUGAAAAAACAAAAUUCUACCUUGAUUUAUAAAUUGAGCAUUUGAAAAGUGAAAUUUUUAUCCACCAAACUGCAUAUAUCCGGAAAGUAUUAAAGCGAUUUUAUAUGGAUAAUACACAUAUAUUAAGUAUUCCAAUGGUCGUCAGAUCAUUAGAUCCUAAAAAGGAUCCUUUUAGGAUCGCAAGAGGAAGAUGAAAAGAUACUUGGUUCUGAAGUACCAUAUUUCAGUGCAAUUGGCGAAGAAUAUUGGAAUGCGAUAAUUAAAAGAUCUCAAAUAAUGUUUGCAUCAGGGGGAGAAAUUAAUACACAAGAAUAGUGUACUCUUUUUCCUUCACUAGGGUUUUUGUCCCGAUGGGUUUAUCCCUGGUAAGGUUUUAACGAGGCAUAUUCUUUGUGUAAUGGACAUCCAAGGGGGAGUGUUAUGAAACAAUUAAAAGUAUGGAUGUCCCUUUGUAUUCCCAAGAGGAUUAAUUCUUGAUUUUAUGACUACAUUAUGUAUAGAAAUUACAAUCCAUAAAUCUAUUCAUGUAGUGGAGAAACCGUUUCAUAGGUUUUUUCAUAUUCUUGUAAUAAUGGGUGUUUAAUAGAAUUGAUGUAUCUUUAAUCUUGUAGUACCUAUAUAUAGAGGUACAUUGACAUCCUUUGUGAGGACUUUUGUAUUAGUUGGAAUAAUAAGAUAAUCACUCUCUAUUUCUCUACUUUUUUUUUCUAAUAUUUCCAUUCAUACUAUAAUAGUUUAUUAGUUUUAUAACAGGUGGAGUAUUUUCAUCUUAGCUGAAUCUUCAAAGCACGUAUCCUCCUCCUACAUAUACUUAGCUACCAUAUCCAGAAUUUUUGGAGUCUAUUUGAUGAGUCAUAUGAGAGACUACUGUUAAUUUGUUUAAAGAUUGAGGCGCCAAUUUCAGUGAUGCAUAGUAAUAAAAAAAAAAAGCAUCAUUUUUUGAAAUGAAAUAUGGUGUCACAUCCGGUGUGCAAAAUUGGAGUUCAUUCUUAAUGUGACGGGAACUGUAGCUUUAAUUACUUUGUAAAUAAAAUAUAUAAAUAGGCUGUUAUCUGAUAGUGGAUGGAUAAUUAUAAAUAGAUAUGAUCGUGGUGGAUAGGAGAGACACGGGUAAAUAUGAUAGUAGGUAGAAGAGACAAAAAAUAAAUAUGAUAGAUGAAUAAUCAUAUUUAAAGAGUAAUUUAUGAAGAUCAUAAGAUGACGAUUUUUUUUUUACACCAAAAACCUCCCCACCCCCUUUCUAUAUGGUAUAAAUAGAGAUAAGCAUAAAUUGACGACGGCCAAAGUAUUUCAUAAAGCUGGUCCCCAAAUUGGGCUGACUCCUUCAUUGCACAACUCUGAUUAGUUUCCAGAUUGGUUUUGAUAAUCAGCUUAAACCGAGACCUACCCACUGUAAUUCUCUACUUUACCCAACGAGCUGCAUUGGGAAUGGGCUCAUGUAACCAACUCCCAGUUUUCAGAGCCCAAUGAACCUGAGCUUUCUUUACCAUGGCCUUCUCCCCUAGCAAGUCGCUUGACAAAAUAAAUUUGUUGCACAAAAUUACUUGUUUAAGCCUUUCAUUUGUGUUAUUUUCUUUGAACUCCUCCACCCCCCCCCCCCCCCAUACCCACUGUUGUGGUCUUUUCUUUGAGCUUCUAGACUAAAGUACGAAUUUAUUUCUUUACCUACGUCAUAUCAUAGAUCAAUUUAUUUUUCUUCCAUUCCUAAGCAAACUGAGUAUGAAUUCAAUCAAAUUGAAAUCACCGUGGAGACUAGCUUGCGAUUGACUAUUACAUCUUCAAUUGCUUCACGGAUCCUACAGGUAGGAAAUCAAAUGUCCAAGUUCGUGGCCUUGACCAUAACACCAUUAGAAUACUAUUACAGCUUUACUUGUCUCAAAAAGUAAAAAAAAAAAACACGGUUGAUUUCUUUAUCUUUGUAAUCAGAAGAGACAUAUGUAAUGACGUAAUCCAUAGAAAAUGAGAGAAAUGGCAAACUAUGUAAUAUGUAACUAACUCAGCCAAGUUGAGUUGAGUUAGCCGCCACGAAAGAAGUUAAAUCUUACAUUGAGUGUGGUCAAGAGAUAAAAUUUCCUGACUUGCAUUUUUCUUACGGUUUUUUAAAAGUUUCAUAUUCAAAUGCAUUCGUUUGAUCUAGUGGCAAUUCAAUCUCUUUACGGUUCUUCAUUGACCACUUUAUAUUCGUUCGUUUCCUGUAUAUAAAAUAGAAAUUAUCAUAUCGAUAAUAAAAAAAAAAUAUGUAACACGUCAGAAUUGUGACAAUUGAUGGAUUGCAAUCAGCCACAAUGUCACGGACUCGGGACAGGUGCAACCGUCCCGGACAGUUUUGAUCAUUUUUAACUGCGCGUAACUUUCUUUGUACAUCGUGUAACUUUUUUUGCACAUCGCAUAACUUUAGAGCAAAUUUUUAUGAGACCCACACAUGGCGUGGAAAUCGAGUUACAACUUGUAAUCUCAGCUGCACAAAUUUUGAGGCCAGAUCAUGACCGUCCCUACCCAUUUCCCAAUGUCACCGCUUUCCGUUCUGAUGGCUAGAGUUGAAAAAUCUACAAGCUUUUCUGCAAUUUAUUCACAUAUACUCAUUAUAAGGCCAGCUCGCAAGAAUUAUCAUUUUUCCUCUAUGACAACAGUAUACAAAAAUUUGAAAAAAAUGGGAAAAAAUUUUACGGCAAGUUUUUGGACAUUUUUCAAGAUAUGAUCACAGUGGAAUGUGGCACAACAAUAUAUCACACAAGUGGCCUGGUCUUGGAAUUGAGUGACAACAAUCCUACUUAACAAAUUUGUGAAUUGAAUCGAAGUGGUGUGAAUUCUACUAUAAUAAGUAGCGGUUCAAAUUGUACAGCAUCAAACUUCAAGAAUUUCUUUUUAUUAAAAGAUAGUUCAGCUCCUGGAUUCUAGAGAUUCCUUUAUUCGUGUCUAUCUGCUUAAAAAUGUUGGUUUUGUUUGGAUCCUUCAGCUAUUUAAAUACUAUAAAAAUUUUUAAAUAGUAUUCUAAAAGAUAUUUUAAAAAGUAGUUUAAAUUUUUUUAAUAUUCAAAAAAUAUCCUAAAAUAUAUUUUAAAAACUCUACUAUUCUUAAAUAUUUCAAAAUAUUUUGUACAAUUAUUCUAAAAUAAAAUCUAAAAACUCUACUAUAGUAAUACCCUAAAAAACAAUUAAUUCAAACGGACCAGCUGUAAUUUCCAGGCAGCUUCUUGUAGGUAGGUGAACUCUGUACGUAAUACAACUUUUCAUUCACAACCGUCAAAUUAUUACGCUUUACGCUGUUAUCCAAUACUACUGCUACACAUAAAUACGUGCUCUGAGGCCUAUUCUUAGAUCACAGAAAGAAGAGCAAGAAUACCAUUAAACAAACUGAGAAAGAUGAUGAGCAUUCAUUGGCUAUGGACAGCUCUAGCCUUGGCUGCAAUCUGGUUUUUUCUUCAAGACUUGUUCUUGAUGAAGAAGAGAAAGAGAUUUCCUCCAGGUCCAAAAGGGCUUCCUAUUAUAGGAAAUCUGCAUCUGUUAGGCAAGAAUCCUCACCAAGAUUUGGAAAAACUAGCCAAAAAGCACGGCCCUAUAAUGCACAUGCGAUUCGGUUAUGUCCCAGCAAUCAUUGUCUCAUCCCCUGAAGCAGCUGAAAAGUUUCUCAAGACUUACGAUCAAGUUUUUGCUAGUAGGCCUUAUCAUGAAUCUUCUUGGUACGUUAGUUAUGAGCAGAGGAACUUGACGUUCGGCCAAUAUGGACCGUAUUGGCGAAACAUGCGUAAGCUUUGCAUUCUGCAGCUGCUCAGUAGCCACAAAAUCAACUCAUUUCUGCCGAUGAGAAGAGAAGAGGUUGGAACAUUGGUUAAAUCACUCAAACAGGCUGCCUCAGAUGGUGCUGCUGUUGACCUUAGUGCAUCAAUUUCUUCCUUGGGUGCAAAUAUGAGUUGCUUGAUGAUAUUUGGGAAGAAAUAUAUGGACAAGGAUUUCGAUGAUAGGGGGUUUAGAGAUGUUAUUCAAGAAGGACUUCAUGUUGCGGCCAUGCCAAACCUCGGUGACUACUUUCCUCUACUCGGUGUGCUUGACCUUCAGGGACUUACUCGCCGGUUUAAAGAUCUUGCCAAGGUGUUUGACAAAUUUUUUGAGAAAAUCAUUGAUGAGCAUCUACAGUCUCAGGAGCACAAGCAAACCAAGGACUUUGUAGACAUCAUGAUGGGAAUUAUGCAAUCUGGAGAAGCUGAGUUUGAGUUCGACCGUCGUCAUGUCAAAGCCAUCUUGUUGGUAUGUUUUAGACCUUUCUGGUUUGCUGGUUUGUUGUUCAUAUACGUAGCUGACAGCACCAGAUUUUUGUAUUGCUUGCUGAAUAUGUUUUUAGCUUUUUCAACAAAAUUUUCGGUCAGUUAUAACUUCUGGACUAACGAAAUUCAAAUAACUAAACUUUGCACCUUAAAACGUGAUCUGGAAUUCUGUGCUCUUACUUUCUUCAAAAUAAUACCAGCGUUCUUUUCUGAGGUUCUCCUUUGUUUGUCUGUUGAGAAAGGGAUUGUUUCAUAGCUAAAUCAAAUAAUUGCAAUCCUUGCAACAAAUGAAGACAAAUUUGACGCCUAUUUUGACCUUGACAUUGUGCCUAACUCUGCCAAUUCCUUACCUCAACUACACAGGAUUUGCUUGUAGCCUCAAUGGACACCUCAGUCACGGCAGUUGAGUGGGCGAUCUCAGAACUCCUCAGGCAUCCUGAGGCAAUGAGGAAACUCCAGAAAGAAUUGGAAGAAAAAGUCGGAUUGGAGAGGAUUGUAGAGGAAUCAGACAUUGAAGGCCUAGAAUAUUUGGACAUGGUUAUCAAAGAAUCCAUGAGGCUCCAUCCUGUGGCCCCACUGUUGCUCCCCCACGAGUCAAUGGAAGAUUGCACAGUUGAUGACUUCCACAUUCAGAAGAAGUCGCGGAUCAUCAUAAACAUAUACACAAUCGGACGCGAUCCAAAUGUCUGGCCUGAUCCUGAGACCUUCAACCCUGAAAGAUUCAAGGAUAGCAAUAUAGACCUUCGGGGCCAAGAUUUUCGGCUCAUACCAUUUGGCUCAGGCAGAAGAAGUUGCCCUGGUUUGCAGUUGGGGCUCCUCCUUGUUCGUUUUGUGCUGGCACAGUUGGUGCAUUGCUUCAAUUGGGAACUUGCAGAUAACAUUCGGCCAACUGAUUUGGAUAUGUCUGAGGCUUUUGGUAUUGUAACUUCCAGAGCUACGCAUUUAAGGGUUAUUCCUACCUACCGAUUAGCCAAAUGAAUAAAGAUUGUGGACUCCAAUCCCAAUUCUGGAAGUGUAAAAGUAAUGUUCCUUGAAGAUUGUGUUGACUCUAGUGUCUUCUUGCACGUACUGCUUGUUGCUCUUUCCAUUCGUUUUUUUUUUCCAAACGAUAAAACUUUCAUUACUAUACCAUCGCGUUAGUUGACAAACACCUAAACAAACGGGCCUAAAUCUGUCGUUAGUUGACAAAACUUUGCACCUUAAAACAUGAUCUGGAAUUCUGUGUUCUUACUUUCUACAUAACGAUACCAGCGUUCUUUUCUGAGGUUCUCCUUUGUUUAUAUGUUGAAAAAGGGAUUGUUUCAUAGCUAAAUCAAAUAAUUGCAAUCCUUGCAACAAAUGAAGACAAAUUUGACGCCUAUUUUGAUCUUGACAUUAUGCCUAACUCUGCCAAUUCCGUACCUCAACUACACAGGAUUUGCUUGUAGCCUCAAUGGAUACCUCAGUCACGGCAGUUGAAUGGGCGAUCUCAGAACUCCUCAGGCAUCCUGAGGCAAUGAGAAAACUCCAGAAAGAAUUGGAAGAAAAGUCGGAUUGGAGAGGAUUGUAGAGGAAUCAGACGUUGAAGGCCUAGAAUAUUUGGACAUGGUUAUCAAAGAAUCCUUGAGGCUUCAUCCUGUGGCCCCACUGUUGCUCCCCCACGAGUCAAUGGAAGAUUGCACAGUUGAUGACUUCCACAUUCAGAAAAAAGCGCGAAUCAUCAUAAACGUGUAUGCAAUCGGCCGCGACCCAAGUGUCUGGCGUGAUCCUGAGAUCUUCGUCCCUGAAAGAUUCAGGGAUAGUAACAUCGACCUUCGAGGACAAGAUUUCCGACUUAUACCAUUUGGCUCAGGCAGAAGAAUUUGCCCAGGUUUGCAGUUGGGGCUCACCGUUGUGCGUUUUGUGCUAGCACAGUUGGUGCAUUGUUUCAAUUGGGAACUUGCAGAUAACAUUCAGCCAACUGAUUUGGAUAUGUCUGAGGCUUUUGGUAUUGUAACUUCAAGGGCUAAACAUUUAAAGGUGGUGCCUGCUUACCGAUUGAACAAAUGAAUAAAGACGGUGGACUCCAAUUCCAAUGCUGGAAGUGUACUGGUCUGUUCCUUGAAGAUUGUGUUGACUCUAGUGUCUUCUUGCACGUACUGCUUGUUGCUCUUUCCAUUCGUUGAUGAUAAAAAUAUUUGCCAAUUAGUUUUCUUUUUUAUCUACCUGUUUCCAUCUCGAUCUGAAGAAGCAGCUUCUUCCUUGAGCAAUAGACAUAGUACAGAAGUUUCCGAACUUGAUGUUGCAUUUGUCAAUUGUUUCAUUUUCCUUGCUACUUUUAUAAUGAAUACAUUGUUUAGUGGAUUUUUUUUUAUUUUUUACUUUUGUAGUUAAGUAGAUUUUUUUCUUUAUUAAUUGUAUUAUUUAUCGAGUGACAUUAUGGAAAGGUAUUCAUUUGUUUGAUUUUAAUCAACAAUGUUCCCACAUAUUAACUAGGAUAAGAUCAAGAGAAAUUUAGCUAAGCACUUCUAAUGUUUUUGAUAGGUAUGACUGACUGUCUAAUGAUCCAUUCGGGUUCACAAAUUAAAUUCUGUCUAAUUCAAAUCCUACUUGUAUAAUUCUUACUAUAUUUUGUGUAAACUCAUAUGAUAUUGGUGUAAAAUUAGUUACUUGAUAAAUUUAAAUUUAUAUCAAAAUCAUAUAAAUUUACACCAAAAGUUGUAAGAAUUGUAUCGACCAGUUGAACAAAACUCAACUUGUGAGAGCGGUUUCCAUCUAAUGACAUUUUAAACUUGGUGGGACAAAUUCUUGGUCUCGCCAUGAUUCUUGUCCUUGAUGCCUAACGAAGUUAGCCGUAUUGAUGUCGUGAUACACAAAUGCUUAGAGCGAUAACGUAUUGCAUUGUUACAUGCAUAGGAGUUAUAAAAAAUUACUUCAUAAAUAUCUGCUCUGGGCUUACGUUUAUCUCAGAAAAAGUAGUAACUAGUAAACCAAAUCUAGCUCACUGAAAAGGAUGAUGAGCAUUCAUUGGCUAUGGAAAACUCUAGCCUUAGGCUGCAAUUUGCUAUUUGCUUCAAGAUUUGUUGUUGAUGAAGAAGAGAGGACAUCUGCACAUGUUAGGCAAGAAUCCGGACCAAGAUCUGGCAAAAUUGGACAGAAAACAUGGUCCUAUAACGUGCAUGCGAUUUGGUUAUGUCCCAGCAAUCAUUGUCUCAUCCCUGAGGCAGCUGAGAAGUUCCUCAAGACUUAUGAUCAAGUUUUUGCCAGUAGGCCUCAUCAUGAAGGUUCUUGGUACAUUGCUCAUGAGCUGUGAAACUCGACUUUUGGCCAAAUGGUACAUUUUGGCGAAACAUGCGUAAGCUUUGCAUUUUAAGGUUGUUAAGUAACUACAAGAUCAAAUUGUUUCUCCCAAUGAGAAUAGGAGAGAUUGGGAUUUUAGUGAAAUCAUUAAAACAGGCUGCUUUUCACGGUGCUGCUGUCAAUCUUAGUGCAGCCAUUUCGUCCUUAGGUGCAAACAUGAAUUGCUUGAUGAUAUUCGGAAAAAUGUGUAUGGAUAAGGAUUUUGAUUUUGAUUUUGAUGAUAGGGGGUUUAGAGAGGUCAUUGAAGAAGCAUUGCAUGUUGCAGCAAUGGCUAACCUCUGUGAUUACUUUCCCCAGCUUCGUGUGCUUGAUCUUCAGAGAUUUGCACGUUGGUUGAAAGCUCUGUCUAAGGUGUUCGAUAAUUUUCCAAAGAAAAUAAUUAAUAAGCAUCUUGAAUCCAGGGAGCACAAGCAAACGUACCAAUGAUAUUUGCCACCCAGAGUUCAUGUAAAGCUCUACCUCAACUCUUUACCUAUAAUGAGUUAUCCAGUUGGGGAUGACUCCAGUUCGUUUUGUGUUAGCACAAUUGGUGCAUUGUUUGAAUUGGGAACUUGCAGAUAACAUUCAACCAAGUGAUUUGGAUAUGUCUGAGAUUUUUGGAAUUGCUACUUCAAGAGCUAAGCAUCUAAAGUGGUACCAACUUACCGAUUAUGCUAAUGAAUAAAGAUUGUGAAUUCCAGUUCUCAAUUCUGAAAAAUGUUGACAAGGACCUAUAAUGCAUUAGCAUAACGUUCUUCUUUUAAUAGUUUUUCUAACAAGGGAAAUGUGAGAUUUAAAAAGCAGGAAAGGGGUAGGAAAAUUAGAACUCAAGAUCUCUAAUUCUUGAGUUUCAACCUUAGCAUAAUUGAAGGUGUAUUUUCAAGGAUGAUUUGGAUACACAGGAUUGCAAUGUUUUGAAACUCAUACCAGCCAUCGAUUUGGUCGAGGUCAUGGGUCGGGGAUGGUCGAACACAUCCAAGAAUCGAAUGAUAUCAUCAUGAUUUCAUCAAUAUAUUUAAGGGGCAAAUUCUACUUUACUCCCCUGUGAUUUAGCAUUUUUUUACAUAACCCCCCUAUAGUUUCAAAAGCUAUACAUAACCCCCUUAUGGUUUGGAUUAAAGUGUCAAAGUGACGGGAAUGAUCAUUCAUAACGGCGUCACCUAAAAUGUCAAAAUUACCCUUAUGUAAAGUUGAAAUUUAUGUAUUAAUCCAGGGGGGUUAUGUGUAUAUUUUGAAAAUUAUAAGGGGGUUAUAUGGUAAAAUAUUAAAUCAUAAGGGGGUUAUAUGGUAAAAUAUAAAAAUCAUACGGGGUUAAUGUGUCAUGUGUUUAUAAGAGUAAUUUCAACAUUUUUAGAAGUUCCGUUACGAGUGACUAUUUCCGUUACUUUGACACUUUAAUCCAAACCAUAGGGGGUAAAAUGUAAUUUACCCUAUAUUUAAUUUUAAAAUUUAAUAUAUUAUGUAAAAUUUCUAAAAACAUAUUAAUACUAAGAAAGACAGGUUCAAUGUAUGUUUGACGUUUCUAAGAUACUUUACAAGAAAAUACAAAUAAGAUAGUAUAAUUAAGUAGGAAUUUAUACAAUAAUUUAAUGCAUAUUCAACAAGUUUAGAACCAAAUUGGAGAGCUUAUUUGAAAAGUAAUACAAAAAUUUAGGGCUAUAGCUAUAAGUUCUAAAAUGGUUCUAGGUGUAUUAAUAGUUUUCCAGUACUCUAGGGGUCAAAUCAUAAAAUUGAUAAAAUGUUUCUAGGUGAAUUAUAUAUGUGUGUGUGUGUGUGUGUAUUAUUUUUUAUCCCUUUGUGAGCGAGAUUUAUGGUAAGAUAUGUGAAGAGAUUUGAAAGUAGUUAAAAGAAAGAAUCAAAAAAGGAACACAAAAAAGGUCAAAAAGGAAAGGAUGAAAAAAAAAAAAAAAA